RNAcentral lists this long non-coding RNA (748 nucleotides) under Mytilus galloprovincialis (Mediterranean mussel). The record is from RNAcentral. Lineage: Eukaryota; Metazoa; Mollusca; Bivalvia; Mytilida; Mytilidae.
GAUGAAAUCAAACAAAGUUUAAUUUUGGACCCUUUGGGCCCCUUAUUCUGUUGGGACCAAAACUCCCAAAAUCAAUACCAACCUUCCUUUUAUGGUCAUAAACCUUGUGUUUAAAUUUCAUAGAUUUCUAUUUACUUAUACUAACGUUAUGGUGUGAAAACCAAGAAAAAUGCUUAUUUGGGUCCCUUUUUGGCCCCUAAUUCCUAAACUGUUGGGACCUCAACUCCCAAAAUCAAUACCAACCUUCCUUUUGUAGUCAUUAACAUUGUGUUUAAAUUUCAUUGAUUUCUAUUUACUUAAACUAAAGUUAUUGUGCGAAAACCAAGAAUAAUGCUUAUUUGGGCCCUUUUUUGGCCCCUAAUUCCUAAACUGUUGAAACCAAAACUCCCAAAAUCAAUCCCAACCGUUCUUUUGUGGUCAUAAACCUUGUGUCAAAAUUUCAUAGAUUUCUAUUAACUUCAACUAAAGUUAUAGUGCGAAAACCAAGAAAAUGCUUAUUUGGGCCCUUUUUGGCCCCUAAUUCCUAAAAUGUUGGGACCAAAACUCCCAAAAUCAAUACCAACCUUCCUUUUGUGGUCAUAAACCUUGUGUUAAAAUUUCAUAGAUUUCCAUUCACUUUUACUAAAGUUAGAGUGCGAAAACUAAAAGUAUUCGGACGACAACGAAGACGACGACGCAGACGACGACGCCAACGUGAUAGCAAUAUACGACGAAAAAUUUUUCAAAUUUUGCGGUCGUAUAAAAACUG